GACGAACGCUGGCGGCGUGCUUAACACAUGCAAGUCGAACGGUAAGGCCCUUCGGGGUACACGAGUGGCGAACGGGUGAGUAACACGUGGGUGAUCUGCCCUGCACUUCGGGAUAAGACUGGGAAACUGGGUCUAAUACCGGAUAGGACCACUGCCUGCAUGGGUGGUGGUGGAAAGCUUUUGCGGGGUGGGAUGGGCCCGCGGCCUAGCAGCUUGUUGGUGGGGUGAUGGCCUACCAAGGCGACGACGGGUAGCCGGCCUGAGAGGGUGACCGGCCACACUGGGACUGAGAUACGGCCCAGACUCCUACGGGAGGCAGCAGUGGGGAAUAUUGCACAAUGGGCGCAAGCCUGAUGCAGCGACGCCGCGUGAGGGAUGACGGCCUUCGGGUUGUAAACCUCUUUCAGCACCGACGAAGCGCAAGUGACGGUAGGUGCAGAAGAAGGACCGGCCAACUACGUGCCAGCAGCCGCGGUAA
RNAcentral lists this ribosomal RNA (478 nucleotides) under uncultured bacterium. Its description in RNAcentral is "partial 16S ribosomal RNA". It matches the Rfam family "Bacterial small subunit ribosomal RNA", at positions 28 to 523 of the family's 1533-position model. The record is from RNAcentral.